RNAcentral lists this transfer RNA (76 nucleotides) under Clostridia bacterium. RNAcentral's name for it is "tRNA-Phe". It matches the Rfam family "tRNA". Rfam says of the family: Transfer RNA (tRNA) molecules are approximately 80 nucleotides in length. Lineage: Bacteria; Bacillati; Bacillota; Clostridia. The record is from RNAcentral.
GCCUUGGUAGCUCAGUCGGUAGAGCAGGGGACUGAAAAUCCCCGUGUCGGUGGUUCGAUUCCGCCCUAAGGCACCA